UACGUAGGUGGCAAGCGUUGUCCGGAAUUAUUGGGCGUAAAGCGCGCGCUGGCGGUCCCUUAAGUCUGAUGUGAAAGCCCACGGCUCAACCGUGGAGGGUCAUUGGAAACUGGGGGACUUGAGUGCAGAAGAGGAAAGUGGAAUUCCAUGUGUAGCGGUGAAAUGCGUAGAGAUGUGGAGGAACACCAGUGGCGAAGGCGACUUUCUGGUCUGUAACUGACGCUGAGGCGCGAAAGCGUGGGGAGCAAACAGG
This 253-nucleotide ribosomal RNA is filed under the name uncultured bacterium. Its description in RNAcentral is "partial 16S ribosomal RNA". It matches the Rfam family "Bacterial small subunit ribosomal RNA", at positions 524 to 776 of the family's 1533-position model. The record is from RNAcentral.